This 547-nucleotide unclassified non-coding RNA is filed under the name Hevea brasiliensis (rubber tree). Lineage: Eukaryota; Viridiplantae; Streptophyta; Magnoliopsida; Malpighiales; Euphorbiaceae. The record is from RNAcentral.
CGAAUCUCUCCAGAAAGGUAAUUCCGACCGUUGAUGAUAGAUCUCGGCCAAUUUGAUUCAUUUUGUUUCAACAAGUCUUUAUAUAACUAAAUCAUUCGACAUUUGCACUUCCUGCUGAUGUUGUGUAGAGUUUGGUGUCUCCUUCCUUGUUUUAUUUGGUGAUUUUUGAAUUUUGCGAACAGUUAUUAGUGUUUUUCAUCUGAUCUGAGGAUUGCAGAGUGGGAUUUAUUUAGAUCCGUAGUUUUUGUAUUAUAUCAUGCACAAUGGAAUAUAAAUCUUAAAACGAAGCUUUGUUCUUUUCGUUUUCUAUGAUCACUUGUUGAUCGCAUCCCAUUUGGUUUUGAUAUGCAAGUGUUCUGCCUUCAGAUCUAUUCGAUCUGCCUUUUAUCUCUCUUUUUUUUGUUCUUUCGAUUUUUAUUCGUCGCGUAGAUCCAUUUUUGGAAUUGCCAUUGGCUGGAAGCUGCUAUUGGGUGCAUUUGUAUAUUUGGGGAUGUGAAAUUAAUGGCUGAUUGACGAGCUAUUGUGUCAUUAGGGAUCAAUAGCUGAG